This 45-nucleotide non-coding RNA is filed under the name Schistosoma margrebowiei. Lineage: Eukaryota; Metazoa; Platyhelminthes; Trematoda; Strigeidida; Schistosomatidae. The record is from RNAcentral.
AUCCAGUUGAUAAGUCCCAACUAGGACGAAACACCUGUCGUGGAU